Long non-coding RNA from Carassius gibelio (silver crucian carp), 797 nucleotides. RefSeq lists it as uncharacterized. The transcript has 6 exons. Lineage: Eukaryota; Metazoa; Chordata; Actinopteri; Cypriniformes; Cyprinidae. The record is from RefSeq and is a predicted model, not a curated record.
UUUCCCUCCACUUGUUUGUUUCCUUGAUUAGCAGUUGCUCCACACCUGUUUCAGUUCUUCCUGAUUACCUUCCUCGUGCAUUUAAACCCCGUGUCUUCCUCAGGUCUAGGUCUGCUAUUGUUCUGUUCUCCCUGUGGAUUUAUUAAAGCCUCUAAUCGAAUCUAAAGAUGCCGUCCGUUCACAGACGAGUGGCUCUAAUCAAACAUGUUUCUCUGGGAAGAAUGAGUGCUGUCUGGACGCAGUGGACUCUGCAGCACACAUGCUCAGUCCAGUGUUGACCUGAAUGAAUGGAUCACACACACACACACACACACACACAGAUGAGGAUGUCGGGACAAUGGCCUGGUCUCAGGGGCUUCUGUAUUGUCUGAGUUCAUGUGGAAGCUGACCCUUCGUUCCCUUCCCACACCCCACCUGAGAGAAACCUGCAUCAGUAUCUCUCGUACUGACAUAGCUACAGGUCAGUCUGAGGUCAGUGUGCUGCUCACCUGUCAGCAGGUGGGACACAAUGACACACACACACACACACACACACUCUGAUGAACUUUUGCUCAUGAGUGCAUUGCUGGAAUGUGUGUGAGAGUGAACAGGAGAUGAGGUCACAGGAAGUCAAGCCCUGGCUGCAAUUUUGUGGAAAAAGGACACUUCCUGUCCGCUUCCCGAGUCCGUUAUGUGAAGUUUCCGUCAGCAGUGUAAAGAAAUGAAAAGUGUGCUGGUUGCUGUGGCAGCUAAUCUCUCUCCAUCAUCGUGGAAACACACAACGGGAUACAGGACAGCUGGAGCUGUGUGUGUGUGUG